Molecule: ribosomal RNA, 465 nt
Filed under: uncultured bacterium
Lineage: Bacteria
Description: partial 16S ribosomal RNA
Rfam family: Bacterial small subunit ribosomal RNA
Source: RNAcentral
ACGCACGCUGGCGGCGCGCCUAACACAUGCAAGUCGCACGAGCGAGAGAGAGCUUGCUUUCUCAAGCGAGUGGCGAACGGGUGAGUAACGCGUGAGGAACCUGCCUCAAAGAGGGGGACAACAGUUGGAAACGACUGCUAAUACCGCAUAAGCCCACAGGUCGGCAUCGACCAGAGGGAAAAGGAGCAAUCCGCUUUGAGAUGGCCUCGCGUCCGAUUAGCUAGUUGGUGAGGUAACGGCCCACCAAGGCAACGAUCGGUAGCCGGACUGAGAGGUUGAACGGCCACAUUGGGACUGAGACACGGCCCAGACUCCUACGGGAGGCAGCAGUGGGGAAUAUUGCACAAUGGGGGAAACCCUGAUGCAGCGACGCCGCGUGGAGGAAGAAGGUCUUCGGAUUGUAAACUCCUGUUGUUGAGGAAGAUAAUGACGGUACUCAACAAGGAAGUGACGGCUAACUACGUG